GGGCGUGGGUUCCUCUUCCUUGGAGCUAGGAUUUGGGUGAGAGAAAAAUCAAGAGAGAAAGAGUUCUCCCUUGCCUUCUUCCAUCAACCUCUUCUUCCUCCAUUGAUCAGCCACAAAGGGCCUCUGCAUGGAGCUAUCACUCCAGGGAGGUCGAUUUGAUCGUGCUUCGUGUGGAUACCUAUAAAAACUCGAUGCAUGUGCGGCUAGAAGCAAUAUACAACCCCUUGAUCUUCAGCUGC
RNAcentral lists this long non-coding RNA (239 nucleotides) under Elaeis guineensis (African oil palm). Its description in RNAcentral is "long non-coding RNA (EGUI_LNC061466)". The record is from RNAcentral. Lineage: Eukaryota; Viridiplantae; Streptophyta; Magnoliopsida; Arecales; Arecaceae.